This 72-nucleotide transfer RNA is filed under the name Pangasianodon gigas (Mekong giant catfish). RNAcentral's name for it is "tRNA-Glu". It matches the Rfam family "tRNA". Rfam says of the family: Transfer RNA (tRNA) molecules are approximately 80 nucleotides in length. Their secondary structure includes four short double-helical elements and three loops (D, anti-codon, and T loops). The record is from RNAcentral. Lineage: Eukaryota; Metazoa; Chordata; Actinopteri; Siluriformes; Pangasiidae.
UCCCUGGAGGACUAGUGGUUAGGCCACAGCACUCUCACUGCUAUGGCCUGGGUUCGAUUCCCGGCCAGGGAA